AUUGAGAACUCCACAUCACAAAUUCCUGUGGCUCAGAGAGGCCGCUUGAGGCCGCUGCCACUGUCCCUCUGUCCUAGAGUCCCCACAGACAGCAGGCUGUGUCCUCAGUACAGGGACCUUGAGAGAUGAGAAAACGAGAGCCAUAACAGGAGCCACCUUCUUCACAGCCUGAGGGUGACAAUCUGCAGUGACAUUAAGGGCCACUGACAGUCAGCGGAAUCCAGCCCAUUGGCAGAACCAGUGAGAUUCACACUCCCGGCGCGUGCAGAGGAUCCCAGCUCUGACCGGCAGCCCCAAGGGCUUCUGCAAAAUUCUCCUACAGAAGGCCAAGGUGCCACAGGCCGCCUACGACUGGGACAUGGAGAAAGCCCUGGGAAAGUGCUUCACAAAAUGACACUGAGCUGGACACUCAGCUGGCGGGGGUCGUAUGGUGAGGCCGAGGUUGUUCUCACCAAGGAGAAGACACAAAGCAAAACCAAAGUGACCAGAGCUGCAAGCUGCAAACUCUAGAAAAGUGAACAAAGAGAGCCAUCAAGUCAGACCAACCCUUGGUCCACACCAGCAGAGCCACUGUGAGCUAUAAAGUGCUGAGCCUUAACUUUCCCAUCUGUGAAGUGGGACCAACAGGCCCCUUCCUUCCUAACGGAUCCAGUGUCUGAGGUGGGCAGAGUGCUCCUCCUUUCCCCUCGUGCCCCAGGAACCUGUGAUUCCACUGGUAUUUGCUUUAUGUGGCAUCCGGUUCUGAACGUACACGAUUCAGUGGCAUUUGAAGAACAUUCAUAGUAUGGUACAACCAGCACUUCUGUCUAGCUUUGCCAUAUUCUCACUACCCCCAAAAUAAGACUUUGGGCCCAUUAAGUAAUUAUCCCUUAUCCCCUCUCCCCACAACCGCUGACCGACUGUUUUUGUAGAGUUGACAAUUCUGGGUUGCUCAUAAUGAUGGGAUGGCGCGCUUGAGCCUCGGGGCUGGGCUUCGUUCACACAGUACGCAGUUUUCCGGGCUCUCCCGGGCAUCACAGGCCCUUGUGCCUCUCUCCUCCUCAUGGCUGACCCAGUGACGCUUCCCCACUCUGCCAGCAGCAGACAGCGGGGAAGGGGCCUUUCGACCUUCUGUGUGCUGUGAACCCUGCUGCCACGAGUGUGGGCAAGUUUCUGCAUAGAGCCAAGUUCUUGAUUCUCUCGAAUAUACACUCAGAAGCAGAAUGCCUAGUCAUAUGCUCGUUUCAUAUUUUGAGGAAGCAUCGAGCUCUUUUCCAUGCGGCCGCAUCCUGUCCAUGUCUGCCGGCAAGGACCAGAACCCCAGCGCUUCCUUCCGCGUGCUCACCAAGGUUCAUCUCCUGCCUCAGGUUUCUGUCACUGCUCCUGUUGAGCACAGUCAUCCUGGUGGGGACACACGGGCCAGAUCUCUCAGUUUUAGUCUGUGUCUCCCUAGGACCACCUACCUCGAGCAUAUUCCUUUCGCAGGCUCGUGAGAGACCUCAUACCCACCCAGAAGGAAGUGCAUUCCUACGCUGCUUCUUUCAUUGAGUUGUUUGGGCUUCUGUGCCUAAAGCGCUGGGCAAGGGUGCAGCCAAGCAAAUGCAGCCUCCAGUUUCUACAUCAAGGGGCAGCAGGAGCUACAGAGGCUCAGGUCCCGUGAGGGCUUGGGCCACAGGCUGCGACACGCGAGCCCGGAUGUCACCCACAGCGCUGGCCCUGGACCCGACAGAAGACGCCUGGGAUAGGGCUGGUAGUACACACAGCCCGAAGGUGGCACAGAGGCAGUCCAGGCAGACAGAGCCCCGCAUGUUCCAGUCCUUUCCAUGCAAAGGCUGCAGGGGCUGAGGGGUCAGGAGUGCAAGGGGUAAGCGCAGAACAGAGCCAGUCAGGGACUCACCACCACGUAGGCCUUGACAGGCUGCCCGUGCUAGGUGUUUUCAAGGACUGCGAGGCCAGCUGUUUUCCAUUUCCCCGGCAGUCAAAGAAGAGGAAAUGCUCACAGUGGGGGUGGGAGCAGCUCUGGGCUGGAGACCUUUGCAUGGCGGGGUCUGCCAACACCUGGCAAGGAACGCGGACCACCCAUGGUCAGCCUGGACCUCCUCAAGGCGCAGGGUCUCCAGGGGCCGCGGGCUUAACUGCUCCUGCUCCAUCACUAACAAGGCUGGAGCCUCCGUGGCUGGCAUUACCCUUGGACUCCGCAACCCUGGUGGACACAGGGCUCCCCACUCACUGGAUGAGCAGGUGUCCCAGCGACCCUGCUUCAACUGCCAGGUGUUGGGAACAGACGCAGAGCAGAGCUGAACCUGAUCCUGGCCAGCACACUGGAGAAACCCUCAUGCGGACAGAGCAGCAGAAAGCCCGGCCCUCAGGACACCUGGAAGGACAGGUAAGGACCAGGAGACAAGAUACGGUUGAGCCUCAGCGUCAGCAGGAGAGCCGGGCAGGUAGGAAGGUUACCCUGUAUGUGCUGCUCUGAUACAAAGCCACUGCUCCGCUCCAGCACAUACAUGCCUGAGCUACUCAGCCUGUCAUCCUCACCCAUCACAGGGGACAGCCCAAGUUCUCUACUAGGGCAGCGGAGGACAGCAGAGACGCAGCAGCUCACAGGAGACUGCCUGCCUUCUGGGCAGCAAACCCAGGGAUCCAGCCUUCGCUCUGUCACUUAUUUGCUGAAGGGUCUCUCUGGCAUUUUAUUUAACUCCCAUGAGGCUCAGUCUCCCCAUCUGUAAAAUGGAAGCAGUGACAACGGUACCCAUCUCAGAAGUUGGCACGCACAAACCACUUAGAAGAUGCCUGGGCAGCGCUCAGGAAUGUACCUAUCUGUCAUGAUGUGACUUUCAGCAAAACAAGCAACCUUCUCCCUACGCUCCUGGGUGUCCAGUGGCAGCCUCUGCACAGUAAGCUGAAAGUCAGCGCUCAGUGCUCAGUUGUGGGAUCCCGGAAUUUUAAAAUACAUGGGAUCUGGGGGAGCUAAUGUCACCUCAAUAAAAAACCGCCCAAAGGCUCCCCUAAUGAGAUC
Long non-coding RNA from Octodon degus (degu), 2998 nucleotides. RefSeq lists it as uncharacterized. Lineage: Eukaryota; Metazoa; Chordata; Mammalia; Rodentia; Octodontidae. The record is from RefSeq and is a predicted model, not a curated record. The transcript has 3 exons.